CAGCCUUGGUAACAUGGAGAGUGGAGUGUUUCUGCCCUGUCUGGAUCAGUUCAUGCUGAGUCCUCUUGUCACUUGGGUGAAGACAUUUGCUUCAAAUAAGGGGGACACACACGGAGUUUGCUGAAUUACUGGAUGGAGUCUUUUUGAAUGACAUAAUGACAGAUAAAUCCUUCAGUUAUAUCCCAGGCUGCAAAUAAAGUAAGCAGGGAUCCAAGUCAAAGGAUCCAGGACCUGAACCUCCUUGUCCAGCAAAUCAAGACAUAUUAUCUGGUGAGUUUUGGAUGUUUAUUGCCCUUCUCAUAUCUUAUACUAUAAAUGUAUCCAAACUACAAGCUGCCACACUUUCAAUCUAGUAUUUGAACAUUUGAUUUAGGGAUGUUUCUGUUCUACAUCACGGACACAUGCACACCAGAUAGUCUGUAGCUUUUGUGUCCCAGAAGAUCAAGUAAUUUUUUUUCAAAACACGUCCUAAAUAUGAGCCAUGUCAACAUGUGUAAUCAGUACAGGAGCAGGGUUA
Monopterus albus (swamp eel) is the source of this 517-nucleotide long non-coding RNA. RefSeq lists it as uncharacterized. Lineage: Eukaryota; Metazoa; Chordata; Actinopteri; Synbranchiformes; Synbranchidae. The transcript has 3 exons. The record is from RefSeq and is a predicted model, not a curated record.